This 85-nucleotide transfer RNA is filed under the name Tessaracoccus sp. MC1627. Its description in RNAcentral is "tRNA-Ser". It matches the Rfam family "tRNA". From Rfam's summary of the family: Transfer RNA (tRNA) molecules are approximately 80 nucleotides in length. Their secondary structure includes four short double-helical elements and three loops (D, anti-codon, and T loops). The record is from RNAcentral. Lineage: Bacteria; Bacillati; Actinomycetota; Actinomycetes; Propionibacteriales; Propionibacteriaceae.
GGCGAGGUCGCAUAGUGGACUAGUGCAGCCGCCUUGAAAGCGGCCGAGGGGUAACUCUCCGUGGGUUCGAAUCCCACCCUCGCCG